Molecule: ribosomal RNA, 547 nt
Filed under: uncultured bacterium
Lineage: Bacteria
Description: partial 16S ribosomal RNA
Rfam family: Bacterial small subunit ribosomal RNA
Source: RNAcentral
UGGGGAAUAUUGCACAAUGGGCGCAAGCCUGAUGCAGCGACGCCGCGUGAGGGAUGACGGCCUUCGGGUUGUAAACCUCUUUCAGUAGGGAAGAAGCGAAAGUGACGGUACCUGCAGAAGAAGCACCGGCUAACUACGUGCCAGCAGCCGCGGUAAUACGUAGGGUGCGAGCGUUAUCCGGAAUUAUUGGGCGUAAAGGGCUCGUAGGCGGUUUGUCGCGUCUGUCGUGAAAGUCCGGGGCUUAACCCCGGAUCUGCGGUGGGUACGGGCAGACUAGAGUGCAGUAGGGGAGACUGGAAUUCCUGGUGUAGCGGUGGAAUGCGCAGAUAUCAGGAGGAACACCGAUGGCGAAGGCAGGUCUCUGGGCUGUAACUGACGCUGAGGAGCGAAAGCAUGGGGAGCGAACAGGAUUAGAUACCCUGGUAGUCCAUGCCGUAAACGUUGGGCACUAGGUGUGGGGACCAUUCCACGGUUUCCGCGCCGCAGCUAAGCGCAUUAAGUGCCCCGCCUGGGGAGUACGGCCGCAAGGCUAAAACUUAAAUGAAUU